RNAcentral lists this unclassified non-coding RNA (330 nucleotides) under soil metagenome. Its description in RNAcentral is "partial contains 5.8S ribosomal RNA, internal transcribed spacer 2, and large subunit ribosomal RNA". The stretch from base 1 to 120 matches the Rfam family "5.8S ribosomal RNA", at positions 35 to 154 of the family's 154-position model. The record is from RNAcentral.
GAUGAAGAACGCAGCGAAAUGCGAUAAGUAGUGUGAAUUGCAGAAUUCAGUGAAUCAUCGAAUCUUUGAACGCACAUUGCGCCCCUUGGUAUUCCAUGGGGCAUGCCUGUUCGAGCGUCAUUUGUACCCUCAAGCUUUGCUUGGUGUUGGGCGUCUUGUCUUGUAUUAGACUCGCCUUAAAGUCAUUGGCAGCCAGUGUUUUUGGUAGUAAGCGCAGCACAUUUUGCGUCUUAGUCCUUGAAUCGUGGCAUCCAUGAAGCCUUUUUUCACUUUUGACCUCGGAUCAGGUAGGGAUACCCGCUGAACUUAAGCAUAUCAAUAAGCGGAGGA